AUCACCGGAUCGCGGUACCGUCACGACGACAUUCACGACGACACGGCGGAAGUCCGGUGCAAAUCCGGCACGGUCGCGCCACUGUAAGCCCAGCCCAGCGCCAGGCGAGUCAGACCCGCAGUCGUCCGACAGAGCUC
This 137-nucleotide non-coding RNA is filed under the name Actinacidiphila glaucinigra. Lineage: Bacteria; Bacillati; Actinomycetota; Actinomycetes; Kitasatosporales; Streptomycetaceae. The record is from RNAcentral.